Molecule: ribosomal RNA, 259 nt
Filed under: uncultured soil bacterium
Lineage: Bacteria
Description: partial 16S ribosomal RNA
Rfam family: Bacterial small subunit ribosomal RNA
Source: RNAcentral
AGAACGAACGCUGGCGGCAUGCCUAACACAUGCAAGUCGAACGAGACCUUCGGGUCUAGUGGCGCACGGGUGCGUAACGCGUGGGAAUCUGCCCUUGGGUUCGGGAUAACAGUUGGAAACGACUGCUAAUACCGGAUGAUGUCUUCGGACCAAAGAUUUAUCGCCCAAGGAUGAGCCCGCGUAGGAUUAGCUUGUUGGUGAGGUAAGAGCGCACCAAGGCGACGAUCCUUAGCGUGGUCUGAGAGGAUGAUCAGCCACA